Bactrocera oleae (olive fruit fly) is the source of this 865-nucleotide non-coding RNA. NCBI's taxonomy places the organism in Eukaryota, Metazoa, Arthropoda, Insecta, Diptera, Tephritidae. The record is from RefSeq and is a predicted model, not a curated record.
UUCAUCAAAUGUUUUGAAUAGUUUCAGAAAAGCAUGAAAUUCGGAAUCUCACAUUAUUCCACGAGUAACGGUUAGUUUUUCAGUGUAUAUUUAAAUAUCGAGCUUGUUACAACUAUGGUCAAUAUGGGCCAUCAGCCAGUCGUCCAAGAAAGCAGGCACAUGAUCUUUGUUUGUAUCAAAAAACUAACGCUAGAAUAGAUUGUUUGCUAACUUAAAAGCUGUUGGAUUUUUGGAAAGCAAUCGUUAACGUUAUUCAGGGCGUUCUGAGGAUCUGUUUACUGUAAAUCAUAAGAGAGGGACUACAGCCUAAUUCAUGACUCAUUUGCGAAAGAACAAGGAAAAAGUACCGAGGCAAAUUGUCCAUAAAGUUUUCCACCAAGUUUCAAACAUUAAAAUAUCAGUCGACGCUUGGAACCGCCUCACGUGUACACUCUUAGACAGCUGUUGUGACUUGCUGGUCGCAGGGAAGAGCUUUCCACUUUGACUUGCCUGCACUUUUCGACGCCAGUGACUUACGUUUACUAAAUUUCACUUGCUUAAAUUCAAAUAUCGAAUACAUAAAACCUCUCCAUAGCUUUUUAAACGCGACAUGCAUCAGCGAGGCUUAAUUCGUUGAAUACUGCUUGGACCUUGGCUGAGCUGUGACUGCUUUUAUAAAACAGCUAUAUCUUAUCAGAUCCAGAGUCUUCAAACUAUGGCAGAUGAUUAACAAAUAUCGUCCGAAUGAGUAUAAUUGCAUUUAUAAUAUCCCACAAUUGACAAGUGGAGUAGACGAACGGAACUGCCUUCUUUCAUGCAAGAUAUGAAGUAAUAUUUUGAUUAUAAACAUUUAUUUUUCUUUAUAAAUCUAUGUGUUGAUAUUCUU